Juglans regia (Persian walnut) is the source of this 611-nucleotide long non-coding RNA. RefSeq lists it as uncharacterized. The transcript is spliced from 4 exons. NCBI's taxonomy places the organism in Eukaryota, Viridiplantae, Streptophyta, Magnoliopsida, Fagales, Juglandaceae. The record is from RefSeq and is a predicted model, not a curated record.
ACAAGAGAAACCAAAACCCUCUCCUUCUCCUUUACCCCACUGACGGCUUCUAAGGCAAGAGACAAGUAAACUCCUUCCUCAUUUCUCUUCACCCGUCGAUCCCAAGGCACACGAAGGAGAGAAAACUUCUCAAGUCUCCUCCUUCACACGAGAGACCUUUCGGUUUUCCCCAAGCCGUAUUUGAGAUUUCGAAUUUCUCUUCCUUUUCUUGUUGCUGUGUACUUCUGUGGCUUCAAAAGAGAUCCAAACAGGAGUGUAAUUUCAAGAUUUAAAGACUACUUAUAAAGCCUCGAGGCAUGAACGAGGAGGCUGUGGAGCCGGGUGCUGCUGAGGAGGGAGGGGUUGAGGUUUAGAGGUCCCGGUUGGUUGGACUUUGGAGGACAAUGAUUAUGUUUUCUUUAUGUUUUUAUUUUGGGUCCCAUGUUGGGACGUUCUGUUGGUUGACUUUGAAACAAUAUGCCUUUGGGCAACGGUGUAAGUACUAUGGUAGGGUGUUGGUAAUGGUGUAUUUACUAUGGUGGGGUGAUGGUAACCCCACAUAGGAAAAUUAAAUGCCUUUUUAUAUGUGUUAUGGGGACUGAGUCCCCUCUUAAUUAGAACUAGUAUGUUUU